This 442-nucleotide ribosomal RNA is filed under the name uncultured bacterium. Its description in RNAcentral is "partial 16S ribosomal RNA". It matches the Rfam family "Bacterial small subunit ribosomal RNA", at positions 338 to 795 of the family's 1533-position model. The record is from RNAcentral.
CCUACGGGAGGCUGCAGUGGGGAAUAUUGGGCAAUGGGCGCAAGCCUGACCCAGCAACGCCGCGUGAAGGCAGAAGGCUUUCGGGUUGUAAACUUCUUUUGUCAGGGAAGAGUAGAAACCGGUACCUGACGACUCAGCCACGGCUAACUACGUGCCAGCAGCCGCGGUAAUACGUAGGUGGCAAGCGUUGUCCGGAUUUACUGGGUGUAAAGGGCGUGUAGCCGGGUUGACAAGUCAGAUGUGAAAUCCUGCGGCUUAACCGCAGAACUGCAUUUGAAACUGUUGAUCUUGAGUACUGGAGAGGCAGACGGAAUUCCUAGUGUAGCGGUGAAAUGCGUAGAUAGUAGGAGGAACACCAGUGGCGAAGGCGGUCUGCUGGACAGCAACUGACGGUGAGGCGCGAAAGCGUGGGGAGCAAACAGGAUUAGAUACCCCAGUAGUC